Molecule: transfer RNA, 75 nt
Filed under: Candidatus Taylorbacteria bacterium RIFCSPLOWO2_02_FULL_46_40
Lineage: Bacteria; Candidatus Tayloriibacteriota
Also listed under: 2 other names
Description: tRNA-Glu
Rfam family: tRNA
About the family: Transfer RNA (tRNA) molecules are approximately 80 nucleotides in length. Their secondary structure includes four short double-helical elements and three loops (D, anti-codon, and T loops). Further hydrogen bonds mediate the characteristic L-shaped molecular structure. tRNAs have two regions of fundamental functional importance: the anti-codon, which is responsible for specific mRNA codon recognition, and the 3' end, to which the tRNAs corresponding amino acid is attached (by aminoacyl-tRNA synthetases). tRNAs cope with the degeneracy of the genetic code in two manners: having more than one tRNA (with a specific anti-codon) for a particular amino acid; and 'wobble' base-pairing, i.e. permitting non-standard base-pairing at the 3rd anti-codon position.
Source: RNAcentral
GGCCCUAUCGUCUAACGGUUAGGACGGAGGCUUCUCAAGCCUUAAAUCCGGGUUCGAUUCCCGGUAGGGUCACCA